UGGUGGCGAUAGCGAAGAGGUCACACCCGUUCCCAUACCGAACACGGAAGUUAAGCUCUUCAGCGCCGAUGGUAGUUGGGGGCUGUCCCCCUGUGAGAGUAGGACGUUGCCA
Molecule: ribosomal RNA, 112 nt
Filed under: Sutcliffiella rhizosphaerae
Lineage: Bacteria; Bacillati; Bacillota; Bacilli; Caryophanales; Bacillaceae
Source: RNAcentral